UCUUAGGGAUUGCUUUCAUUCAGCUAGGCAAAAAGGCUUUGAGCGGCCCCACCAAUGCCUUUCUCUCAUUUAUUUGGGCUAGAAUUAAGGUUUAUUUGUUUUCUGUUUUCUUCUUCUUCAGAUUGUUUCUCUGUCUUGAUCCAUUUAACAAACUGUUUCCUCCUGUAUCUCAGAAGGAACCUAUAGGGCCUGCACCUCUGUCUGCAGUCUGCAUGCCUCCAUGCCUCCUUCUUUUGAGUGCAUUUCUCUCAACUCAUUUUCCUGGAGCUCCUAAAUAUCUCUCAAGUUUCAGGUUGAAAACGUGUCACCAUCACCAAGUGCACAGACUGAGAAAGCGUCAUUAGAUGUCGCCACACCACAAGCACCAGCUGGAGUAGCACCCUAAGAUGCACCUUAGAACCAAGAAGUUUUGCAACCUUAGAGCCAAGGGUGCUGGAGCGGCACCCUCGACAGACCUAAGAUAGAUCAAGAAGUUCCUUUCUUGUCACAUCAGAGGAUGAAGCCUUUCAACCAGCCCCACGCAAGUGCAGUCAAGCCCAACUUGAGACCUAGUCAGGAGAAAACCAGUCACGGCACCCGAAGUCUGUAGGUGCCUGCUUGGCAGGAUGGCCAGCCCGUGGACAGACGUUUGCUGACCGGCUGAGCACCAGGACGACUUCAGCAGGUAGACACCACAAAGCUAACAGCCCAGAGCAAACACACGGCAAUGCUGCCCGGAAGCCAGUGGGUGGCCUUGGCUGGUGAAAGCCCUUCCUUCAAGCAACUGAGGCAGGAGCCCAUUAAAGGUGUUAAUUUUACAUGAUGUAGCACAGCGAGUUUAUAAAUAAGUAACAAAUGAACAUUCCCCAUGGUUCCUCUCCUCUGAAUUUUUGUGUACCUGCUACAGGCCUGGCAACAGCAGGAGUUUCUCAGAUGCCAGAUCUGGAAUUGCUCUUCAAAAGCGAGGGGGGAGGCAUUUCUAGCACCAGGACCAAUGAUAGUGUCCAAUUAUUUGCAUUAUUUUGACUCAAUAACUUUUGAUGCCUACAUCCUUGGAUCCAAACAUCUUUAAAAAAUAGCACUAAUCCAUCCUCUGUGUUUGGAUGUGCUCAAUUGAAGAUUACCAUCGUGAGCUGCAAGAACAAAACACAGAUGUUAGAAUUUCAGAAAAAUGUACUGUGGGGGACCAUUAGUAAAAAAUACUGUUUAAAAUAUAUAACAUAUGUAACUAUUAAAUACAUAAAAAUCCCAUGCACCAAGAGGCAAAACAUGAUGAAAGUUGUUGAAUAUUUUAAGUACCUAUAUUGCUACAUAAAAUGGUUCUGUGCGCUAGAAUUUUCUAUUGCAGGAGAUUUAUGAAAUUUUGUCAAAGUGGUAGAUCAUGCUGAAGUCAGGGGAAAUACUAGCACACUUUGGGUUGCUUUCUAUUUUUAAUUAAGUUUGAAACUGCAUCUUUGCACUUGUGAGUGUGCAUAUAAAUAUAUGUAAGUCCAGAUGUGAUUAACAAUAAUGCUGAUCUAUGCAGGCAUUCAAAUUCUCUCACAAAAUGGCCCCCUCCCACUGCAGAGAAAAUUACUUAAUUGAGGCUAGGUCUGUGUAAUCAUAAUGAAAAGGAGAUAGAAUGGCAAAAUUUGACCAGCAUGAUUCACCUUCAUUUAUUUGAAAGCCUAAGAGGCAGGGUGAUAUGAGUCCUGCCCUGGGCUCCCAACUUUGUUGUGAUGACUUAAGGCCACAGUGCUGCCUUCUUUAGCCAUGUCAAUAAGGAUGAGACUGGCUAGGCUUGAGUAGCUAACUCCAGUCCAUCUAAUGCUUAUCCUGAAGGACGAAGGCAGGGAAGGAUCAAAGGCACCCUUGAAAAUAAACUGGGUCCAACGUACAGAGGGUCCAAAAAACUAGGCAGUAUUAAUAAAGAUGGAGUCAAGGGCAAAUAACCAGGUCUGAUGGCUGCAAAGAAAGUCUGAUGGAAGACGGCAGAGAAGCAAAAGAGAUGCAAGCAGAGGACUCGAGACACCACCCAAGUCCCUUGCACCAUCAGCUUCCCUCUAUCUUUGCCUCAGUUCCAACCUUCUGGCCCAACCUGUCUUUCAAAUGCCCAGUGCACCUGAGUCUUCACUACAUAAGCAGCAUUUAAUUCUGUAUUCUUCUGUCCCAUUCUUGUUGUUUUCUAUGGGCUUCCACUCAUCCUAACGAGAUUAAAACUCUAUUUGGAGAUCAGUAACUAUAUCGCAUGUAUCUAUAUUUUCUCCAGGGCCUAACACAGCUGUAUGCACUUUCAAAGUUUCAGCAACUGCUUAGUGGUUGAGUCGAUAUGAAAUCAUUGUUUGCCUUCCAGCAAGGACUGAUAGCCAGCUUUUCAUCAGUCCACAUCUACACCUGUUUCAAUUUUCCUACAAAAUAUAUACUCCAAAAUACAUGAGGACAUAAUUCAUUUAGUACUUGCUUUAUUUUCUAACUUUUCUUAACAUGAUCAUCAUCUAUACAGAUUCAACUUAUUUUUCUAAUAACUGUAUAAAAUUCCACCAGGUGGAUGCACCAGAGUUUAUUCAGCCAUUCCUCUGGCUGCCAUGUAUUCCUGCCUGAUAAGCAAUAUUACAAUAAACAAGUUUAUCAAUGUCAUUUUGUAUUUGCGUUUUAAUUUGUCGAUUCCCAGGAGUGCAAAGAUAAAGUGUAU
Long non-coding RNA from Condylura cristata (star-nosed mole), 2650 nucleotides. RefSeq lists it as uncharacterized. The transcript has 3 exons. NCBI's taxonomy places the organism in Eukaryota, Metazoa, Chordata, Mammalia, Eulipotyphla, Talpidae. The record is from RefSeq and is a predicted model, not a curated record.